UUACGGCCAUAUCACGUUGAAACACUGGUUUUCAUACGAUCACCGAAGUUAAGCAACGUCAAGCUUGGUCAGUAGCUCGAUGAGUAACCGCUUGGAAAUACCAGCUGCUGUAAG
Molecule: non-coding RNA, 114 nt
Organism: Acanthosepion pharaonis
Lineage: Eukaryota; Metazoa; Mollusca; Cephalopoda; Sepiida; Sepiidae
Source: the annotation of a GenBank genome assembly